GACGAACGCUGGCGGCGUGCCUAAUACAUGCAAGUAGAACGCUGAAGGAGGAGCUUGCUUCUCUGGCUGAGUUGCGAACGGGUGAGUAACGCGUGGGUAACCUGCCUGGUAGCGGGGGAUAACUAUUGGAAACGAUAGCUAAUACCGCAUAAGAGUAGACGUUGCAUGACAUUUGCUUAAAAGGUGCAAUUGCAUCACUACCAGAUGGACCUGCGUUGUAUUUGCUAGUUGGUGGGGUAACGGCUCACCCAGGCGACGAUACAUAGCCGACCGGAGAGGGGGGGCGGCCACACUGGGACGGUGACACGGCACAGAGUCCUUCGGGAGGCAGCAGUACGGAAUCUGCGGCAAUGGGCGGAAGUCUGACCGAGCAACGCCGCGGGAGUGUAGAGGGUUUUCGGAUCGUAAAGCUCUGUUGUAAGAGAAGAACGAGUGUGAGGGUGGAAAGUUCACACUGUGACGGUAUCUGACCAGAAAGCGACGGCUAACUACGUG
This 495-nucleotide ribosomal RNA is filed under the name uncultured bacterium. Its description in RNAcentral is "partial 16S ribosomal RNA". It matches the Rfam family "Bacterial small subunit ribosomal RNA", at positions 28 to 507 of the family's 1533-position model. The record is from RNAcentral.